This 936-nucleotide ribosomal RNA is filed under the name uncultured Psathyrella. RNAcentral's name for it is "eukaryotic LSU rRNA". The stretch from base 369 to 522 matches the Rfam family "5.8S ribosomal RNA". The record is from RNAcentral. Lineage: Eukaryota; Fungi; Basidiomycota; Agaricomycetes; Agaricales; Psathyrellaceae.
GCGGUGGGGAGCCGGCAACGGCACCCUGUUGCUGAGAAGCUGAUCAAACUUGGUCAUUUAGAGGAAGUAAAAGUCGUAACAAGGUUUCCGUAGGUGAACCUGCGGAAGGAUCAUUAACGAAUAUCUAUGGCGUUGGUUGUAGCUGGCUCCUAGGAGCAUUUGUGCACGCCCGUCAUUCAUAUCAUCUUUCCACCUGUGAACUAUGUGUAGAUCUGGAUAUCCCUCGCUUUGUAACGAAGCGGAUGCAAGGAUUGGUGUGUCGACAAGGCCGGCUCUCUUUGAAUUUCCAGGUCUAUGUCUUUUUACACACCCCAUUCGAAUGAUGUAGAAUGUAGUCAAUGGGCUUUCAAGCCUAUAAAACACUAUACAACUUUCAGCAACGGAUCUCUUGGCUCUCGCAUCGAUGAAGAACGCAGCGAAAUGCGAUAAGUAAUGUGAAUUGCAGAAUUCAGUGAAUCAUCGAAUCUUUGAACGCACCUUGCGCUCCUUGGUAUUCCGAGGAGCAUGCCUGUUUGAGUGUCAUUAAAUUCUCAACCUCACUAGUUUUGUAAUGAGACGGUGAAGGCUUGGAUGUGGGGGUUUUUGCAGGCUGCCUUAGUGCUGGUCUGCUCCCUUGAAAUGCAUUAGCGAGCUCAUAUCGAGCUUCCGUCUAUUGGUGAGAUAACUAUCUACGCCGUGGAUUUGGACUCGUGCUUGCUUCUAACCGUCCGCAAGGACAAUUUACUUGACCAAUUUGACCUCAAAUCAGGUAGGACUACCCGCUGAACUUAAGCAUAUCAAUAAGCGGAGGAAAAGAAACUAACAAGGAUUCCCCUAGUAACUGCGAGUGAAGCGGGAAAAGCUCAAAUUUAAAAUCUGGUGGUCUUUGGCCAUCCGAGUUGUAAUCUAGAGAAGUGUUACCCACGUCGGACUGUGUAUAAGUCUCCUGGAACGGAG